CCUACGGGUGGCAGCAGUGAGGAAUAUUGGACAAUGGGCGCGAGCCUGAACGAGCCAAGUAGCGUGAAGGAUGACUGCCCUAGGGGUGGUAAACUUCUUUUAUAAAGGAGUAAAGUGAGGCACGUGUGCCAUUUUGUAUGUACGUUAUGAAUAAGGAUCGGCUAACUCCGUUCCAGCAGCCGAGGUAAUAAGGAGGAUCCGAGCGUUGUUCGGAUUUAUUGGGUUUAAAGGGAGCGUAGAUGGGUUGGUAAGUCCGUUGGGAAAGUUUGGGGCUCAACCCUAAAAUUGCAAUUGAUACUGGCAGUCUUGAGGACAGUUGAGGUAGGCGGAAUUCGUGGUGUAGCGGUGAAAUGCUUAGAUAUCACGAAGAACUCCGAUUGCGAAGGCAGCUUACUGACCUGCCACUGACAUUGAUGCUCGAAAGUGUGGGUAUCAAACAGGAUUAGAUACCCGAGUAGUC
This 460-nucleotide ribosomal RNA is filed under the name uncultured bacterium. RNAcentral's name for it is "partial 16S ribosomal RNA". It matches the Rfam family "Bacterial small subunit ribosomal RNA", at positions 338 to 795 of the family's 1533-position model. The record is from RNAcentral.